This 156-nucleotide non-coding RNA is filed under the name Neobacillus vireti. Its description in RNAcentral is "Bacillus vireti SAM-I sequence". It matches the Rfam family "SAM riboswitch aptamer (S box leader)". From Rfam's summary of the family: The SAM riboswitch is found upstream of a number of genes which code for proteins involved in methionine or cysteine biosynthesis in Gram-positive bacteria. The SAM riboswitch acts at the level of transcription termination control. RNAcentral also lists the same sequence under 1 other name. The record is from RNAcentral. Lineage: Bacteria; Bacillati; Bacillota; Bacilli; Caryophanales; Bacillaceae.
CUCUUAUCAUGAGCUGGCUGAGGGAUUGGCCCUUUGAAGCCCAGCAACCGACCGGAAAACCAUUAUGAAAUGGGGCGCCUAUUCGCGCCGGGGAUAAUCCCCUAACAGGCACGGUGCUAAUUCCAACAGAAGGUUUGUCUUUCUGAGAGAUAAGAG